AACGAACGCUGGCGGCGCGCUUAAUACAUGCAAGUCGAACGAGAAGGUGUAGCAAUACACUUGUAAAGUGGCGAACGGGUGAGGAAUACAUGGGUAACCUACCCUCGAGUGGGGAACAACCAGCCGAAAGGUUGGCUAAUACCGCGUACGCUUCCGGGUCUUCGGAUUCGGAAGGAAAGUCAUACCGUGGGUAUGACGCUCAAGGAUGGGCUCAUGUCCUAUCAGCUUGUUGGUAGGGUAACGGCCACCAAGGCUCCGACGGGUAGCUGGUCUGAGAGGACGAUCAGCCACACUGGCACUGCGACACGGGCCAGACUCCUACGGGAGGCAGCAGUGGGGAAUAUUGGACAAUGGGCGCAAGCCUGAUCCAGCGAUGCCGCGUGUGUGAAGAAGGCCUGCGGGUUGUAAAGCACUUUCAGUAGGGAAGAAAGGCCGAGUGCUAAUAUCACUCGGUCUUGACGUUACUUACAGAAGAAGCACCGGCUAACU
Molecule: ribosomal RNA, 489 nt
Filed under: uncultured bacterium
Lineage: Bacteria
Description: bacterial SSU rRNA
Rfam family: Bacterial small subunit ribosomal RNA
Source: RNAcentral